GCCUCGUGGUGUAGUGGUCAGCACGCUGGGCGCGUAUUCCAGAGGUCCGUGGUUCGAAUCUCGGCGAAGGCG
Molecule: transfer RNA, 72 nt
Filed under: Stegodyphus mimosarum
Lineage: Eukaryota; Metazoa; Arthropoda; Arachnida; Araneae; Eresidae
Rfam family: tRNA
About the family: Transfer RNA (tRNA) molecules are approximately 80 nucleotides in length. Their secondary structure includes four short double-helical elements and three loops (D, anti-codon, and T loops).
Source: Rfam by way of RNAcentral